This 557-nucleotide long non-coding RNA is filed under the name Zostera marina. RNAcentral's name for it is "long non-coding RNA (ZMAR_LNC005194)". The record is from RNAcentral. Lineage: Eukaryota; Viridiplantae; Streptophyta; Magnoliopsida; Alismatales; Zosteraceae.
UCAAGGCAACCUUGGAGUGUCGAGUAUUUGUGAUUGGUCGUUUACCGACAAUCACAUAAAUCGAAAAACACUCAUCACAAAAGUUGUGUAGCACCAAAGCACAACCUUCGGGGGGAGUAUCACAAGCUCUCCUGGCGCUUCUGUCGCUUCGGCCAGAAGUCGUCGAAACUCAGGGGGGAGUAUCACAAGCUCUCCCGGCACUUCUGUCGCUUCGGCCAGAGGUCGUCGAAACUCAGGGGGAGUAUCACAAGCUCUCCCGGCACUUCUGUCGCUUCGGCCAGAGGUCGUCGAAACUCAGGGGGGAGUAUCACAAGCUCUCCCGACACUUCUGUCUAUAGGAUGGAAGUCGCCACAUUUCAAGGGAGAGUAUCACAAGUUCUCCCGACACUUCUGUCCAUGGGAUGGAAGUCGUCACAUUUCGAGGGAGAGUAUCACAAGUUCUCCCGACACUUCUGUCCAUGGGAUGGAAGUCGUCACAUUUCGAGGGGGAGUAUCACAAGCUCUCCGACACUUCUGUCCAUGGGAUGGAAGUCGUCCCAUUUCGAGGGGGAGUAUNN